AGCGUGCACUGGGCGCUCCUCGGCGCGUCUGCCCGGCCCGUCUCGGCUUUCCUUCUCCUUCCUCUAGUCCCAGCGUCACAACUCCGCCGACCUCCUCUGCCCUGAGAGCGCGUCCGGUGCGGGCGGAGUCGGAUGGACUCUGGCUUCACGCCUCGCGCGGGCACACCUUCUCCCGGGCACUGAGGCCCAGUUCUUAGGGGAGGCAGAGUCCUUCUGGAGUUUGACCCUUGGAUUCCAUCCAGAGCAGCCUCCAAAAUGACACCUUUGAAGUUGUGUAUCGAGCUGGGGGAUGUAAAGGGAGGAGAAGAAAGAAGAUGAAGAGAUACCAGCCAGCCUUAAGGAGUGGACAUCCUGCCUGGUGAAACUGAACAAGACACCGACCGCAUAUGGAGUUUCGCUCUGUCGCCCAGGCUGGAGUGCAGUGGUGCCAUCUCGGCUCACCGCAACCUCCACCUCCAGGUUCAAGUGAUUCUCCUGCCUCAGCCUCUCAAGUAGCUGGGAUUACAGGAGCCCUCUCCCACCGCUCCUACACUGCUGGUAAAAGGCAGCCGCACUGCCUGCUGGAAGACCUGC
This 573-nucleotide long non-coding RNA is filed under the name Pan troglodytes (chimpanzee). RNAcentral describes it as "lincRNA". Lineage: Eukaryota; Metazoa; Chordata; Mammalia; Primates; Hominidae. The record is from RNAcentral.